AACGCACAUUGCGCCCUUUGGCACUCCGAAGGGCACGCCUGUUCGAGCGUCAUUUCACCAAUCAAGCCUGGCUUGGUAUUGGGUGCCGCGGCGUCCGCGCCCCCUAAAGUUCUGUCGGCUCUGCCGUCUCGCUCCAUAGCGUCGUAGCAUUUUGUUUCGCUGUUGGGGUGAGGGCGGCUGACGCCGUUAAAUGCUUUUAUUGAGGUUGACCUCGGAUCAGGUGGGGAUACCCGCUGAACUUAA
RNAcentral lists this unclassified non-coding RNA (243 nucleotides) under uncultured fungus. RNAcentral's name for it is "sequence contains ITS2". Lineage: Eukaryota; Fungi. The record is from RNAcentral.